AUGGUUGCAUGUGAUUUUGAUCUGAAUUUCACAUUCAUUUCAUGUGGGUGGGAAGGGUCUGCAUCAGAUGCAGGAGUUCUUCGUUCUGCUAUUAGCAAGGGGUUUCAUGUGCCAGAUGGAAAAUUUUAUCUCGUAGAUGGUGGAUAUGCAAACACGCCUUCUUUUCUUGCACCAUAUCGAGGAGUUCGGUAUCACCUGAGUGAAUUUAGGAGGCGGCGCUCAUCUAAUACGGGCUAUGCCGACCAUAGGGAGCUGUUCAACCAUACCCAUGCAAUUCUCCGGAACCACAUCGAAAGGAGCAUUGGUGUUCUAAAAAAACGUUUCCCUAUCUUGAAAGUGGGCAAUCACUACCCAAUAGAGUCACAAAUCAAGAUUCCGGCGGCAUGUGCUGUAUUCCAUAACAUCAUUAGAGCUCAAAGUGGUGAUGAGGCAUGGUUGGAUCACCAACCACCGUUAAUUCCACCAGAAACAUAUGUUGAUGUUCCAGAGGGAGAUGAUGUCAACCAAUAUCAUCACAAUGAGGCAAACAAUGGAAACACUCUUAGAGAUCAGAUCGCGAUGCAAAUGUGGGCUGAUUAUAACAACCAGUCGGACAUGAGUUUAUUUUGUAAAGUUUUUCUCACCUUUUCUUAG
RNAcentral lists this ribosomal RNA (633 nucleotides) under Triticum aestivum (bread wheat). RNAcentral describes it as "partial small subunit ribosomal RNA". Lineage: Eukaryota; Viridiplantae; Streptophyta; Magnoliopsida; Poales; Poaceae. The record is from RNAcentral.